RNAcentral lists this transfer RNA (85 nucleotides) under Thalassospira profundimaris. RNAcentral's name for it is "tRNA-Leu". It matches the Rfam family "tRNA". From Rfam's summary of the family: Transfer RNA (tRNA) molecules are approximately 80 nucleotides in length. Their secondary structure includes four short double-helical elements and three loops (D, anti-codon, and T loops). RNAcentral also lists the same sequence under 4 other names. Lineage: Bacteria; Pseudomonadati; Pseudomonadota; Alphaproteobacteria; Rhodospirillales; Thalassospiraceae. The record is from RNAcentral.
GCGGGCGUGGCGGAAUUGGUAGACGCGCUGGAUUUAGGUUCCAGUGGAGAGAUCCGUGGGGGUUCGAGUCCCUUCGCCCGUACCA